This 550-nucleotide ribosomal RNA is filed under the name Tribulus planospira. RNAcentral describes it as "partial 12S ribosomal RNA". The record is from RNAcentral. Lineage: Eukaryota; Metazoa; Mollusca; Gastropoda; Neogastropoda; Muricidae.
AAACCAAGAUGGUUAAGUUAUACAUGCUCGGUCAAAAGACAGUUAAGUAGUCCACAAAGUUUAUUUAAUUACUAUUGAGAAGUAAAAUUCGCAAAUAGAUUAGAAAUUUAGCCGUAACUAAAAAACUGAAGCUGUGACAUCCUCGGGGGAAACUGGGAUUAGAUACCCCACUAUUCUUGGAGAUAAAGUAGCUUAGAUACUUACCAGAGUACUACGGAUUUAUUUCAUUUAAAACUCAAAGGGCUUGGCGGUGUUUUAGACUCUUCAGGGGAACCUGUCUCGUAAUCGACAAUCCACGCUAUACCUUACCUUUAUUCGCUACCAGUUUGUAUACCGUCGUCGUCAGGUAACUUUUUAGAAAAAAGAAGUUAGCAGAAGAGCAGGAAAUAAUCUCUUACGUCAGAUCAAGGUGCAGCUAACAUAAAGGAGAGGAUGGGUUACAAUUAUAAAAGUCAUAACUACGGAAUAAUAAUUUGAAUGAUUAUCAUGAAGGAGGACUUGAAAGUAAAAUCUAUUACAUAAAUGUAUUGAAUCGAGCUCUGAAACGUGC